UUCCGUAGGUGAACCUGCGGAAGGAUCAUUAAUGAUUGGCCUAACGGCCUUAUCAACAUAAUCCCUCACCUCUGUGAACCGUUGACCUCCGGGUCUACAUAACAAACAUCAGUGUAAAGAACGUCUUUAUAUUUUAACAAAAUAAAACUUUCAACAACGGAUCUCUUGGCUCUCGCAUCGAUGAAGAACGCAGCGAAAUGCGAUAAGUAAUGUGAAUUGCAGAAUUCAGUGAAUCAUCGAAUCUUUGAACGCACCUUGCGCCUUUUGGUAUUCCGAAAGGCAUGCCUGUUUGAGUGUCAUGAAAUCUCAAUCCCCCCGGGUUUUCUGAACCCGAGGUGGACUUGGACAUGGGUGUCUGCCGUCUCGUACGGCUCGCCUUAAAUGACUCAGUGGGAUCUUCAGCAUCCGUGGCAGACGUAAUAAGUUUCGUCUCGUCCCUUGCUGUGAGGACCGCUCAUAACCUGCCAUCGCGCACCACUUUUGACUCUGACCUCAAAUCAGGUAGGACUACCCGCUGAACUUAAGCAUAUCAAUAAGCGGA
Molecule: ribosomal RNA, 541 nt
Filed under: Papiliotrema laurentii
Lineage: Eukaryota; Fungi; Basidiomycota; Tremellomycetes; Tremellales; Rhynchogastremaceae
Description: eukaryotic LSU rRNA
Rfam family: 5.8S ribosomal RNA (bases 146-299)
Source: RNAcentral